RNAcentral lists this transfer RNA (74 nucleotides) under Ictidomys tridecemlineatus (thirteen-lined ground squirrel). Its description in RNAcentral is "Spermophilus tridecemlineatus (thirteen-lined ground squirrel) tRNA". It matches the Rfam family "tRNA". Rfam says of the family: Transfer RNA (tRNA) molecules are approximately 80 nucleotides in length. Their secondary structure includes four short double-helical elements and three loops (D, anti-codon, and T loops). The record is from Rfam by way of RNAcentral. Lineage: Eukaryota; Metazoa; Chordata; Mammalia; Rodentia; Sciuridae.
GGCAUUAUGGCUCAGUGGUAGAGCGCUUGCCUAGCAUGUGUGAGGCACCACAUAAAAAUAAAUAAAUAAUGCCA